GAAAUGAGAUAAUUAAUGUGAAUUGCAGAAUUCAGUGAAUCAUCGAGUCUUUGAACGCACAUUGCGCCCCCUGGUAUUCCGGGGGGCAUGCCUGUCCGAGCGUCAUUGCUGCCCUCAAGCACGGCUUGUGUGUUGGGCUUCCGUCCCUGGCAACGGGGACGGGCCCAAAAGGCAGUGGCGGCACCAUGUCUGGUCCUCGAGCGUAUGGGGCUUUGUCACCCGCUCCCGUAGGUCCAGCUGGCAGCUAGCCUCGCAACCAAUCUUUUUAACCAGGUUGACCUCGGAUCAGGUAGGGAUACCCGCUGAACUUAAGC
Molecule: unclassified non-coding RNA, 314 nt
Filed under: plant metagenome
Description: partial contains 5.8S ribosomal RNA, internal transcribed spacer 2, and large subunit ribosomal RNA
Rfam family: 5.8S ribosomal RNA (bases 1-105)
Source: RNAcentral